RNAcentral lists this long non-coding RNA (1535 nucleotides) under Anas platyrhynchos platyrhynchos (common mallard). RNAcentral's name for it is "lncRNA (ENSAPLG00000026144.1)". The record is from RNAcentral. Lineage: Eukaryota; Metazoa; Chordata; Aves; Anseriformes; Anatidae.
GGAAAAUCUCAGCGAAGUUUUCAGAAAAACAUUAAGUGUGAAAAUGAAGAACAGCCCCCCUUCCAGGAAAAAAAAAAAAAAAAGGAAAAAAAAAAAGAAAAAAAAGAGUUAAACAAAGUCCCUUGAAGUGCGGAUGACUUUCUGGCUUGUCAGAAACACACCUCUCCAAGCCUUUUCCCUGUAGAUCAUCCAAAAGCGUCUAUUAAAAAGUGCAGGGCUUGGGGAUGUCAGCAGGCAGCCAAUCAGACCGCAUGGCCCAAGGUAAGGGAUGAGUCUCAGCUCAGGGCUGUCAAUCAUGUUCUCCUCCCCCUCCACCCCACAACUUUGUUCCUAGCCCUCGCUUCCACAGACAAACCAUCUUCGCAAGAGACCUUACUGAGGCAGUGAGAUUGUUGGUGGGUGUUUUCCUUUUUUUAAUUUUUAAUUUUUUAAUAUAUGUUUUUAAGUUCAUUUAGCAACUCAGGAUGCACAGACUCUGCUUCUGACUUGGCAUGCCAAGACUUUGCAAGAAUCUACCAGCAGAAAGAAAUGAAGAGCCUUGGGAAGGUGACGGGACCAUGGAGUCUCCUGGAUUUGCUCUCACUAUGUGUUUCAAUGUACCGAGCCACUGAUGAGUGUGAGACCGAGGAACUAAAACCUUUCCUGCUGUGGUGCAGCUGCCCUUGGUGGAAUUACCCCAUGGUCAAUGUGAUGUGAAGAGGCUAACUCAAACCACACAUGAAGAGAUGGAUGACCUGUGCUUGAUGCUGAUGGAGGGGAUUCAGAUGCCUAAUUCUGUGUGUUGGGGAAGGCAGAGAACAUAAGAGACCUGUGAUCCAUGGUGCAGCACUAAGCAAUGGCACCGGAGUGCUAGAUUUCCAUAUCAGCUCUGUUUCAGUGCUGGAGGGUGCCUUACCUGGAUGCUAGAUGUUGAAUUGCAUAUUUGGGCAGUUCGGGGCAUAGCCAGAAAUAGAAACGGAGAAGGAGUGUGCCUCAGUACCAUGGACCUUUGGGGGGUCUCAGGUCCCAGAAACCUCUGAAUUUGUUGUUUUGAAGACCCAUAUUUUGGUCUUAGUAUCUAAAAUGUAGGUAAAAUAGCAAAUUAGUUUUUUGAUGGCUCUAGUCCUCAGUCCUAAAGUAAAUCCUUAUUGGAAAGUAUGUAAAGAGCUGAAGAAAUCCUUCUCCAAACCAUGAAUGAACCAUCUGAGUCCCUUCCAUUUUAAACUGCUCAAAUCCUAUGUGUUUCUGAGGGUAGUGUUUACUGCUGAUAGGUAAUAUUGACUUUUUUUCUCAGUUUUCAUGGCCACAUUGCUUCUCUUCUAGAUCCUUAUGUUUCCUCAGGCUCUAACAAACUGUCUUCCUUUGCUGCUUCCAGUUCUUCAUAUUCACAUUUAAUGUUAGCUGGACACACCAAGGCAGAGUGUCCUUUCCUCAACAAGAGACAGCAUCCUGAGCAGAUUUGCCUAAAGAAGGACCUCCACAGAUAUUACAUCACUUCUGGUCUUUGGACAGGAACAUAUUUGCCUAAUUCCACAUAUCUUCUCAACAUAUUCCAU